UGCUGGAGGUAUCAGAAGUGCGAAUGCUGACAUAAGUAACGAUAAAGCGGGUGAAAAGCCCGCUCGCCGGAAGACCAAGGGUUCCUGUCCAACGUUAAUCGGGGCAGGGUGAGUCGACCCCUAAGGCGAGGCCGAAAGGCGUAGUCGAUGGGAAACAGGUUAAUAUUCCUGUACUUGGUGUUACUGCGAAGGGGGGACGGAGAAGGCUAUGUUGGCCGGGCGACGGUUGUCCCGGUUUAAGCGUGUAGGCUGAUUUUCCAGGCAAAUCCGGAGAAUCAAGGCUGAGGCGUGAUGACGAGGCACUACGGUGCUGAAGCAACAAAUGCCCUGCUUCCAGGAAAAGCCUCUAAGCAUCAGGUAACAUCAAAUCGUACCCCAAACCGACACAGGUGGUCAGGUAGAGAAUACCAAGGCGCUUGAGAGAACUCGGGUGAAGGAACUAGGCAAAAUGGUGCCGUAACUUCGGGAGAAGGCACGCUGAUGGUAGGUGAAGCGACUUGCUCGUGGAGCUGAAAUCAGUCGAAGAUACCAGCUGGCUGCAACUGUUUAUUAAAAACACAGCACUGUGCAAACACGAAAGUGGACGUAUACGGUGUGACGCCUGCCCGGUGCCGGAAGGUUAAUUGAUGGGGUCAGCCGCAAGGCGAAGCUCUUGAUCGAAGCCCCGGUAAACGGCGGCCGUAACUAUAACGGUCCUAAGGUAGCGAAAUUCCUUGUCGGGUAAGUUCCGACCUGCACGAAUGGCGUAAUGAUGGCCAGGCUGUCUCCACCCGAGACUCAGUGAAAUUGAACUCGCUGUGAAGAUGCAGUGUACCCGCGGCAAGACGGAAAGACCCCGUGAACCUUUACUAUAGCUUGACACUGAACAUUGAGCCUUGAUGUGUAGGAUAGGUGGGAGGCUUUGAAGUGUGGACGCCAGUCUGCAUGGAGCCGACCUUGAAAUACCACCCUUUAAUGUUUGAUGUUCUAACGUGGACCCGUGAUCCGGGUUGCGGACAGUGUCUGGUGGGUAGUUUGACUGGGGCGGUCUCCUCCUAAAGAGUAACGGAGGAGCACGAAGGUUGGCUAAUCCUGGUCGGACAUCAGGAGGUUAGUGCAAUGGCAUAAGCCAGCUUGACUGCGAGCGUGACGGCGCGAGCAGGUGCGAAAGCAGGUCAUAGUGAUCCGGUGGUUCUGAAUGGAAGGGCCAUCGCUCAACGGAUAAAAGGUACUCCGGGGAUAACAGGCUGAUACCGCCCAAGAGUUCAUAUCGACGGCGGUGUUUGGCACCUCGAUGUCGGCUCAUCACAUCCUGGGGCUGAAGUAGGUCCCAAGGGUAUGGCUGUUCGCCAUUUAAAGUGGUACGCGAGCUGGGUUUAGAACGUCGUGAGACAGUUCGGUCCCUAUCUGCCGUGGGCGCUGGAGAACUGAGGGGGGCUGCUCCUAGUACGAGAGGACCGGAGUGGACGCAUCACUGGUGUUCGGGUUGUCAUGCCAAUGGCACUGCCCGGUAGCUAAAUGCGGAAGAGAUAAGUGCUGAAAGCAUCUAAGCACGAAACUUGCCCCGAGAUGAGUUCU
RNAcentral lists this ribosomal RNA (1557 nucleotides) under Escherichia sp. MOD1-EC5426. RNAcentral describes it as "bacterial LSU rRNA". It matches the Rfam family "Bacterial large subunit ribosomal RNA", at positions 1271 to 2812 of the family's 2925-position model. Lineage: Bacteria; Pseudomonadati; Pseudomonadota; Gammaproteobacteria; Enterobacterales; Enterobacteriaceae. The record is from RNAcentral.